Non-coding RNA from Cinara cedri, 416 nucleotides. NCBI's taxonomy places the organism in Eukaryota, Metazoa, Arthropoda, Insecta, Hemiptera, Aphididae. The record is from the annotation of a GenBank genome assembly.
UUAAGUACACAGUCGUCGCAAGAACAUAAGUUUAUUUUAGUUUAAAAAGUUUAUCGAUGUGCAAAGGUCGAACGGUGAAUUUCAUCUCGCUAAUUAUCGUACCGUUGAGAUAAUGCUCGUGUAACACUCGCAAAUACACCGUAUGCGCAGCAACCCUCAUUUUCGAUCGUAUAUACACCGUGUGCUAGUGAUUAUUAACUCCAGAUCGUUCUGUCCAUUACCUAACAUUCAUACGUCAGUUUAAUCGUUUUACCACCAGUAUGCCCAAAAAUACGUCAGUCAUCACACGCUCCAAGUCUGAUGUCACUGCCGAUUUUAUCUUACAAGCUAUUAAUCAUAUACGGCGUCCCAGGACAAAUUAUCGGCUGGUCAUAAAUCAUAGGGUAAUGAGCUCAAAUUCAGUCUUAGUGCACUUA